GACUCUCGGCAACGGAUAUCUCGGCUCUUGCAUCGAUGAAGAACGUAGCGAAAUGCGAUACUUGGUGUGAAUUGCAGAAUCCCGUGAACCAUCGAGUCUUUGAACGCAAGUUGCGCCCGAAGUCUUUUAGACCGAGGGCACGCCUGCCUGGGCGUCACACACAG
This 164-nucleotide ribosomal RNA is filed under the name Clematis alpina subsp. sibirica. RNAcentral's name for it is "5.8S ribosomal RNA". It matches the Rfam family "5.8S ribosomal RNA". Rfam says of the family: 5.8S ribosomal RNA (5.8S rRNA) is a component of the large subunit of the eukaryotic ribosome. It is transcribed by RNA polymerase I as part of the 45S precursor that also contains 18S and 28S rRNA. The record is from RNAcentral. Lineage: Eukaryota; Viridiplantae; Streptophyta; Magnoliopsida; Ranunculales; Ranunculaceae.